AUGCUUCAGCAGCACAUAUACUAAAAUUGGAACGAUACAGAGAAGAUUAGCAUGGCCUCUGCGCAAGGAUGACAUGCAAAUUUGUGAAGUGUUCCAUAUUUUU
This 103-nucleotide small nuclear RNA is filed under the name Jaculus jaculus (lesser Egyptian jerboa). Lineage: Eukaryota; Metazoa; Chordata; Mammalia; Rodentia; Dipodidae. The record is from RNAcentral.